GAUGAACGCUGGCGGCGUGCCUAAAACAUGCAAGUCGAGCGAACGGACGAGAAGCUUGCUUCUCUGAUGUUAGCGGCGGACGGGUGAGUAACACGUGGAUAACCUACCUAUAAGACUGGGAUAACUUCGGGAAACCGGAGCUAAUACCGGAUAAUAUUUUGAACCGCAUGGUUCAAAAGUGAAAGACGGUCUUGCUGUCACUUAUAGAUGGAUCCGCGCUGCAUUAGCUAGUUGGUAAGGUAACGGCUUACCAAGGCAACGAUGCAUAGCCGACCUGAGAGGGUGAUCGGCCACACUGGAACUGAGACACGGUCCAGACUCCUACGGGAGGCAGCAGUAGGGAAUCUUCCGCAAUGGGCGAAAGCCUGACGGAGCAACGCCGCGUGAGUGAUGAAGGUCUUCGGGUCGUAAAACUCUGUUAUUAGGGAAGAACAUAUGUGUAAGUAACUGUGCACAUCUUGACGGUACCUAAUCAGAAAGCCACGGCUAACUACGUG
RNAcentral lists this ribosomal RNA (497 nucleotides) under uncultured bacterium. Its description in RNAcentral is "partial 16S ribosomal RNA". It matches the Rfam family "Bacterial small subunit ribosomal RNA", at positions 28 to 507 of the family's 1533-position model. The record is from RNAcentral.